Molecule: long non-coding RNA, 1528 nt
Organism: Austrofundulus limnaeus
Lineage: Eukaryota; Metazoa; Chordata; Actinopteri; Cyprinodontiformes; Rivulidae
Exons: 3
Source: RefSeq, a predicted model, not a curated record
UACUUUAAGACCCAAUAGUCUUAGAGGAGACUUUAACUUUUACUAUAGUAAUUUUAUGGUAAGAUACUUGUUCUUUUACUCAAGUAUCACUUUGAGGUAGUUGAUACAACACUGUCAGUUUGCAUGUUGUGGUGUUUGUGUGGGUUUCCUCCCACAGUCCAGAAACACACGUUGGUCUGCCUUCAGGUGCAGCGCACCUUGAACCUGAGAUCUGUGAAAAGUUCAUCUGAUCACAAAAACACAUCAUUAUUACCAAACAGACAUUUAGAAGCUAAUUUCUGCCAAAAAUAUUUAAACCCCACUGGACAAAUUAAAAAAUCUGCUAAAUUGUGAGUCCACUUCCAAAAAAGUCCAGACCAGUGCAGGAAGUGAGCUCCACUUUCCUCUAACUUUUGUUCUUAUUCCUCAGCGUGUCAUUGUUCAGUGGAUCUGCAGCUCUCAUCAGAUUAUUCUUCAUCUCAAAGACAACAACUGGUCCUUCAAUGAAACAUAAAGCCUCUGUGAUCAAAAUAAGUGUUUGUUCUGUUUUAAACACAUAACGUCCUGACAUUAUUAUUCCAACAGUGUCUUCAUGGAAGUGGAAGCGUGGCCCAGGAGCGUCUUUCUGUGUUUAUUCAGGUGAAAGAGUCUUCGGUAUCGAUCGUGGGAAAAAAAAAAACCCUACUGGAAGCCCGUGCUGCUGCCUGCCGGUGUUGACUCGGAGAGUGGGAAGCAGGAAAAUCGAUUCGACCAGAUGCUGCUUUAUUCUCAAAGGGAACGGAGUUACUGAAGCGUAGAAAGGAUCCAAUCAGCUGAUACAGACGCCCUGUGGAGGUACUGCAGGUUUAGAAGAGAAUCCAGGUGUGUUUACAUGUUCYAUCUGACCUGAGAAAUCAGCUAAAAGUCGCCCCGAGGGAGCCGAAGAACACGACAGGUCUGACUUCCUCCUAUAUUUCUGUCCUUGAUGUAAAGUCAGAAGAAGUGUUGCUUGGAGGCUGGAUGUGUGCCAGAGUGAAGAUUAGACCUGUUAGKGAGUAAACACCACACUGCUCCAUCUCUGUUCCAUCAGCAUCAAAUUUCACCAAAAACUGAUUUUCUUUUUCUCGUCUCACAAAAACAUUUCUGUACUGAGGUCUUGGUUCUCUUUCAGUUUGGGUUUUAUUCACACUUAUAAAAUAUAUCUUUACCAUUCGGAAUGUUUGUCAAAAAUUUUGGAGAGGUACAGGUAGGGGCGGAGCCAGAGGGGCCACGGCCAAAUGAUUGACAAGUGGGGUAGUCUUUGCAUGUAGCAUGAAACUUUUUUUUUUUUGCUAGCUGGGUUAGCUUUCAUAAUAUCAUGGGGAUUGCUCUUGGCUACCACCAAAGCAAAUUUCAGCUCAGUAUUUCUAAAAAAGGCUGAGUUGUUGGCAUUUGAAUUAGUUUUGGCGGCCAUGUUGGAUUUUGUAUUUGAAAUCAGAUUGUUUCUCAGCUACUACAUGUUGGAGAAAAAACUUGUUUUUUUCUGUAUUGUUACCCACAGAGAUGAUAAAAAAAAAGAUGUGGACGUUCG